GAAAUGCGAUAAGUAAUGUGACUUGCAGAAUUCAGUGAAUCAUCGAAUCUUUGAACGCACCUUGCGCUGCUUGGUAUUCCGCGGAGCAUGCGUGUUUGAGUGUCAUGAAACUCUCAAACCCAAGUUUUGGAAUUCGGUCCAUGCUUGAGUUUGAAUUUGGAUGUUUGCCGGUGAUGAACCGACUCAUCUUAAAAGUAUUAGCUGGAUCUGUCUCUAUGACUGGUUUGACUUGGCAUAAUAAGUAUUUUGCUGAGGACAUCUUCGGAUGGCCAGUACCUAGACUAUUGUCUGCUAAAUAAACCAUCGCUCUAAGUGCAUAUUUGCAUGUUACUUUUAGUGUAACUUUGACAUCUGGCCUCAAAUCAGUUAGGACUACCCGCUGAACUUAA
This 389-nucleotide unclassified non-coding RNA is filed under the name uncultured fungus. RNAcentral's name for it is "sequence contains ITS1". The stretch from base 1 to 105 matches the Rfam family "5.8S ribosomal RNA", at positions 50 to 154 of the family's 154-position model. The record is from RNAcentral. Lineage: Eukaryota; Fungi.